RNAcentral lists this transfer RNA (72 nucleotides) under Leontynka pallida. RNAcentral's name for it is "tRNA-Gly". It matches the Rfam family "tRNA". Rfam says of the family: Transfer RNA (tRNA) molecules are approximately 80 nucleotides in length. The record is from RNAcentral. Lineage: Eukaryota; Viridiplantae; Chlorophyta; Chlorophyceae; Chlamydomonadales.
GCGGGCAUAGUUCAGUGGUAGAACUCUUCCUUGCCAAGGAAGGUGUCGCGCGUUCGAAUCGCGUUGCCCGCU